Meleagris gallopavo (turkey) is the source of this 3931-nucleotide non-coding RNA. The record is from RefSeq and is a predicted model, not a curated record. NCBI's taxonomy places the organism in Eukaryota, Metazoa, Chordata, Aves, Galliformes, Phasianidae.
GGGGCCGGCAGGGGCUGCGGGGGAGGAGUUUGCAUGGCAAUAUCUUGCACAGGGAAUCUCUCUGGAAAGCUCCAGCACAAAGGAGCUGUACAGCGGCCAAGAGAGCACGCAGACCACGGUCCCCAAGCCGGCUGCCACCUGGAAGCCAGAAUCCUCAUCAAGAAUAGGGCUCGAGACAGGUAAAUGGAUUCUUGCCUCAUUUUCAGUGAUCCUGGAAAGGAAGCAGGCAAAAUGCUGGUUUGCUUCUUUGUUUUGAAACCACCAUUUUCCUCCAGGCCUGGUGAUGUUAGGUGGGGGUUUUAGAGGAGAGAGGCUGAGGGUAGCUCUUCCCUCUGCAAAGAGUUAAUGUGACAGCUGCUGCCAGGCUCCUUUUGGGGAGCCAUUUUCUCUCCCUCAUUGUUCCACUGCCUUGUGUGCAUGUCCAUCUCAUCCAGGGAGCCAGGAAGGAUGAGACCCCCAACCCUCUGGGGACCCUUCCCUAUUACAGAAAGCAGCAGCAGAGCGGUGCGGGGACAAAGGGUGGCAGUGGGGUGGGGGACAGCAGCGGGGUGGGAGGGGUGGAAGGGUGCUGGGGGGGCUCAGACUAGAACCACUGCUGCGGGCGGAGGGAGGAGGGAUCAUCCCACAGGGCAGAGCAGCAACAAUGAACCUCGGCAGCAAACAGCAGCUGCUCGGCAGCUGAAGUGCGCAGUCAUCGCAGAGCGGCCCCGCUGGGGUUUGGGGCCAUUGUUGCUUUUCCCACAUUGGCCCCACGCUGCUUGUUCCCAGCGGGACGCGGCCAGGUGGGAUGUCUGCCUCUGCUACAGCCCAUGAGCAGAGAGGUGCGGGCACAGCAGUGGGUCUGAGGGCUCUGCAGGGCACGGGGUGCCCUCACUGCAUGGCAAUUGCCACGCUCUGCUGAGGCAGUGCUGCAUUGGGGACCUCGGUGCUGAUCUGACAGCACGGUGCUGCUCCUUGCUUUCUUGCUGCGUUGCUUGCUUUCUUUUGCAGCUGCUAAUGACUGACCUGAGGUCUGUUCACACACAGUCCCCUGUGCAGCCCUCGCAGAGGAACAGCCGGACGGGAUGGGGGACGCUGCACGGUGCCCGUGUAGCCAGAUUGCACAGCACUACCAGCCCCGUGGCUCUGCCACAGCUCUCACCCGAGGGCACUGGGGCACAGGGACGUGACAGCCGCCUGCACGUGGACACUGGAGCUGCUGGCCCCAGCGGAGCCACCUGAUGCCAGCCCGGCUGCUGUGGGAACAAGGCUGAAGAGAUGGUGGUGGCAGUGCCUGAGGACAUGGGACUGCCUUCACAUGGUUCUGCCAGGUGCUGGGGUCUUCUUCUUCCUGCAAACACUCUGGCACUGAUGAGGCUGUCCCCUCCUUGGAGUCCAUUUCUCAUCUUCAUGGUGCCAGGGCUGCACAUCACAGGGCGUACUCAGACUCUGUGUGCCUCACCAGCACGGUGACAGCAGCAGGUCCCCGCCAAGCUUUCAUCAGGAGGGCUGCAUUGCGCUGACCCAUCCACUGACACCUUCCCAUAUCCCAUAACCCAGUGGCAAAGCCCAAAAACGUCUCCUGCUCUCCAAAGCCAUGCUGCCUUGCGCGGGGACUAACCGUGCCCAGCUGUGCAUGCGUGUGCUCUGCUCCUCUCCAGCACUAACCAGGCCCCCCAGGCACCGUGUGCCCCCUGUGAUCACUAACCCACUAACACACCCGCGCAUGCCCUACUAACAGCCCCGCUCUCACUAACAGCCCACAGGCCUUAAAGGGGAACGGAAAAGCUGGGUAAGUACGGGGCUGUGCGGGGUACUAUGGAGCUGGGGAAGCCAGGCAGCAUGUGGGGCAGGCAGGGUAGGUGGGCAACCCCUCUGUAUGCCCCCUGUAUGGGACUGGUCUCUGCAGCAGUGGGGCUGCGAUGCCCAGAGUGCUGCAUAUGGUUCUGCUGCUGACUGGGAGCCCAAAAUGGUUUUAUCAGCAGAAGCUUUUCAGUUCCUUUUUAAGCCAGUGGAUCUCUCUGUUACUAACACAUUCCUGAACUGAAUUAAACAAACUAAUCGUUGCUGCUUUUCUCUUCAUUUCUCUUCUAGUGUAUAUGUUCCCUAAGUGCGACUGACGAUGCCAUGCUUCUCUUUACUAACAGCCUACAUUAACCUCUCUUUACUUGUUUCUCUAUUGCCUCUAACAAUUGUUCUUUGCACUUCAACUUUCCAGUGCUGUUGGCCAUGACAGAUGAGCAGUGGUCCCUACACACCCAGGGACCCAUGGCUGCUGACCCCACACUGCCAUUGGGUACAGCACAAAGGGAGAGGCUCAGGCCAGGGCUGCUUUCAAAAUUUCCCUAUUGGCCUGUUGUUUUCUGGGAAAUUUCACGUGAUUCAAUGAGGAAAAGAUACUGAGUGGAAAGAGAACAAUGCCAAAAACAUAAGGAACAGCUGGCAAUUGCCACAAUAAACCAGCAAAGCUGCCCAGAAAGCAGCACGAUGGCCAAGAGCCUUCCACCCCAGUUCACCUGUCAUGGAAACAGCCUCUCCGCAUCACACGCGGGGCAGCUGCAGAUUCUGCUGGCUCUCUUUGCUCCCUUUUUCUCUCUGCAGUGAUCUCGUGACCCUGAUGCAUGCAGAAAGCGAUGCCAGCAGCGUGCUCCUAACUAACCAUGAGGGUCUGAGAGCUGAGGCUGCCCAUGGGUUGGUACUCACAGUGUCCUGCCAGCCACUGAUGGUGACAGUGACAGUGAUGGUGAUGAGCUGGCCGGAGGCACUCUGCCUGGCAGAGUCAGUGUGCUGCUAAUGCUGGGGCUGGGCUGCAGCCCUUACUUUGCUUUCCAUAGGUCUGAAAUUAGGUAAAACUCCCCUACAUUUGCAUGGGGUUGAGGCUUCAUGUGUGUAGGGCAUUGCCAGCAUGCACAGAGCACAGCUUGCCCUGCAUCCAGCAGACCAUGAUUGUCCUUGUGCUGCCUUCGAUCCCUGGGACAGGGACCUGGCUCCUGGACCUGCAGCCGAGGAGCACCAAGCUGGCUGCCUCCUGCAUCCUAGCCAUGAGUGGGGAAUCAGCAGCUGAAGCAGCCACUGGCAAGCAGCUCCCCAUCUCCUCCACAUUAACCACUAACAAUCCACUCCCUGUCCUCAGCCAGGCUGUGAUCAGGAGGAGUUUUUGGGCUGGUGCUCAUAUGUUUGAUUGAGGAGGGUGCCUGCUUAUUCCUGAUGGGAGAGCAGAGACAUUGGCUCUGCAUGGAGCAAAGGAGCAGAGUGGGAAAAGGAGCAGGAGGAAGAGGAGGACGGCAGGAUGGGCCAGGUCCAGGGCAGGGCAGGGAUCCCUUUGGGCAGUAGGUUCAGGCCCUGGGGAGAAACCUGCAACAACGAGUACCAUUCUAUCCCUAUAUCAUGAGCACAGGGCUGUGUGCUCCAAGCCCUGCCUGCCUGGAGCUGCAGAGAUGCAUCCUCCUUUAAUCUACCCCUGCCACCUCAACACUCCCUAUCCUAUGUUUCCCUUGGCUGGGAGACAGUCUGUCUGUCUAUUCCCAUUUGAGACCUGCCUGGAGAUAGGUGGUGGUAAAGAGGGGUGUGGGACCCCCAGCAACAUUGUGGGCAGAGGUCCAGACAGCACCUGGCCCUGGGAUACCCCAUCCUGCCCAGGAUACACCUUGUACCAGGGCAUGAGAAUUUCACUGUGCGUCACCUUCCUCCUGCCCUAGCUGUGCCUUGAAGGUCUUUGGGAGGGAGGGCAUCAGAGCCAGACACAGGGGUGCUGAGUCAGUCAGGCAUGUUCCCCAACAGCCUUCUCAAUGUCUGGUGUUCCUGCAAUCCUGCAGUGCUGCUGGAUGCAGGGCUCAGUGCUGGCACGGGGUAAGGAUGCUCUGGGGAAGAGGACGUGGGGCCAAGGAUGUCCUUACUGCCUGUAAUGUCUGCUGUGAACAUGGCAAGUGUGCAAACACCUGUGUGCAGUGUC